Molecule: long non-coding RNA, 17484 nt
Filed under: Marmota monax (woodchuck)
Lineage: Eukaryota; Metazoa; Chordata; Mammalia; Rodentia; Sciuridae
Source: RNAcentral
GUCUGCGCAGGUUGAAUGAGCUAAUAUGGCGGCCUGUGGAGAAGCCCACGGAGGGAGGGGUUGUUAUUGUUGUUAUGAAAUGUCACAGGCAUUCCUGCUGGCUGACUCACGGGGCUCCAGACUUGGAGGGCUCCCUUCCAAAUAAGGCACGGACGUGUCCAGGCGGUGGCCUACGGGCUUUGCUGGUCACCCCUGCCGCUGAUGUGAGUGCAGAGCCCGAGUCUGUUGAUCCAGGGCUGGCCUCCUCCUGGCCCCUCCUGAGUGGCCCAGCUGCAGUGUGGCCGUGAAGGGCCCUGUGAGCUGCCUUCACGGAUCCGGGUGGGGGCUGUGGGCUGGUCUCUGAGUCAGAGGACGAAGGAAGACAGGAGUGGACGGCGGCCAGGGGCCGAGCACAUCUCUCGGCGGGAUUUCAGAGGCCAAGGCCUUCCCGGCAAAUCACGGUUAGUAGCAAAACCGGAGUCUCACUUGCAGUGACAACUGUGCUUUGAUCACUGCCAACGCUUGGAAGCACUUGUGGCUUUUCAGGGCUUCAGGCAGAGUCAGAGGAACCAGGUGUUUGCCCAGGCGGUCCAGGAGGGACGAGCAGCCCCUGGGUGAAUGGGGAGAGAAACAUCCAAGUCCUUCCCUGCAUGGCCCCUGGUGACGGCCACAGUGCUCCCAGGAAGGACCCCACCCCGUACUGCACCUCCUCUUCACAAUAAAGGGGUCAAGACUGGACUCGGACCCUGGGCUUGCCUGGUUCCGCCACUCCUACCGCUGUGGACUUGAGCAAGUUAGUGACCUCUCCCCGUCUCUCAUUCCUCAUUAGCUUGGCACAGAGUCACUUGAUACAUGGUCACCAUGAUGGUCUGUUGCUCUCAUUAAAUUUUAAUGUGACCUUUUUAUUUAUUUAUUUUUAAUGCACUGAGAGAUUAUUAUAUGCAGACACUGGCUUAGGUUUUGGAGAUACAGCAAUGAGCCAAACAGAGUCUGUAUUAAUGGGGACCAAGGUGGGUGUGUCGGGUGGGUGACCUAGAGGUGAAUAUCCACAUCUUCAUGUGGCGUUGAGUGGUGUCAAGAACAACAAGUCAGGGAGAGAUGUGGGGGUGACCGGAGUUGUUCUUUUAGAUCAGCCAUUGGCGAACCGUGGCCCACUGUCGCUUGUGUAUAUAUAGGUAAAGUUUUAUUGGGACACCCCCUUGCUGCUCUGUAUGUCGGCUAGGACUGCUUUUGAGUUAAAGGUUUGCCAAAGAGACUGGUUUGCAAAACUGAAAUUGUUUACCAUCUGGAUCUUUAUAGAAAAAAGUUACCAAUCCCUGUUUGUUUCUUCAUUUAUUUUUUGGUACUGGGGAUUGAACCCAGGGACACUCUACAACUGGACAGUAGCCCCAGACCUUUGUAUUUUGAGAGAGGGUCUUGCUAAUCUGCUGAGGCUGGCCUCAAACUGGUGAUCCUCCCACCUCAGCCUCCAGAAUCUCUGAUACUGCAGGUGUACACCGUGACCCUGCCCGACCCAUUUAGAUGAUGUGGACAGGGAGAGCAAGGGAUUGGGUGGAGCAAAUAUCCAGGGAAAGAGGUUCAGGAGAGGAAGCCACAAGUCUCAGGGUCCUGAUGGGGAAUAGCAAGGGGGCAGGCGGGAGUGCCUGGAGGGGUCUGGAGGUCUGGCUUUUCCUGGGGGCAGCUGGGGAAGGCGUGGGGGCCUGUUAGGAGGUCGCUGCUGUCAUCUAGUUGCCUUGGAACCCAGUGAAAGGUUGCAGGAAGGUAAGAAAUGUAAAUGUAGGAGGCAAGAUUCCCAGGACCUGCGAGGCACAGACCACAGGUGUCUCUGGCUCUCUAAUGUCUGGGGAGUGCGAGGGUGCAUGGAUGGAGGGACAGUUCCUGGAUCUUGUCAGUGCCCGAGCAGGGCCGAGCAGCCAGCCUCCUGGUGCCCGUGACCCACGGGCUCCGGCUCUCUUCCUAAGGUCCUCCCCGGCCCCCAAUGGGUCCUGGUGGAUACUCAGGGGUGUCGCAUGUCCCCUGGACCAUCGCGAGGGGCCAUCACGAGUGGGUCACAUCUCCUGCCUCCUGUCAGGCUGGGAUUUCCUCUUGCGCAGACAUUGUCUUGGGGCCCUUCUGUUGACCCGUGGGGACAGGAAGUGGCAGGAUCGGCUCCCCAUGCCCCAGGCCCACCUCACCGUUUCAGCGAUGAGACUAGACUUGCCGGGGAGGCUGGAGCCGAGUCCCUGGGGCGCCCUGGGAAGGCUUUCAUCACCUCUAAUGACCCAGUGUCAAUAGCAGCCUGCUAAUAGGUAACCCUGCAUUACUGGACUUGCACUAAUUAGUUGCUAUCCAUAGAGUGCCAAUCCCCAGACGGUGGGCAGGAGGGCCCUCAUAGCAUUGGGGAGACCGCCCAAGGCCCCCAGGCCAUCGCCUCCUGCAUGUCAGUGGGCUAAGGCUCCCACGUGCAGCCUGGUGGUGAGGGUCCUCAGGGAAGGGAGCUGAGCCCCUGGGGCUUGCCGCAGACCCCCACUGGUGGCAGCCAGCCAUGGGGAACCCCUGUCCCGCCCUGCGUUCAGGUUGUGUCUGCCUUGCUGGGUGGUCCUGGCCAGACUGUGAGCUGCCUGAGGUCAGGGCGAUCCCACCCGGGGAUACCCCAGGCAGGCGCUGGAAACCCAGUGGGGAUGGGGACUUGGGUGCAUGCCCUGCUCUCCUGGUGUGUCCCACAGCAGAGCUCCGUGGGUGUCAAGGGGCUGGGCUGGGUCAGAGAGACGCCUGGCACCCGUCGGGGUGGCGUGUGGCUCCUGGAGAGGCGGCAGCCCUGUGGAGUCCACCUCCUCCCUGGCUCUUGGCUCCCUUCUGGUGCUCGGACUGCCCAUCUCAAGAGUGGGACAGCGGGGACAGGGAGCUUGGGAAACAAGGAGGAGGUUCAGUGGUGGCCGCCCUUGGAGAGAAGUGGGAUCCCUCUUUAAAAAGCAGUUUUGUUGAUACAAAACUCACAUCCGUAGCUGCAGGCCGGAUCGUGUCAUCCCCAAAUUCAUGUUGAUGCCCUUGUGCCAGCAGCUUCCUGGGACACAGGGCCUUCGGAGAGCUGAUGAGUGACCAUGAGACCGUUAGGGUGGGCCCUGAUCCAACCCGAGCAGUGUCCUCGCAAGAAGAGGGCAUUGGGACACACACAGGGACAUCAGGGGCCCUCACAGAGGAGGGAUGGCAGGGGCACAGGAGAAGAGGCCAGGAACAGUCUCAGGAGGAGGCAGGCGAGGUCCUGCUGAGGACCGGGAAGACAGCGCUGUUGUCCAGGCUGCUUGACCAGGCUACCCGGCGAGCACCGGCGGGAGCCACAGUCCACACGGCCCGCCGCUGGCAGUACAGUUCCAAGGUUCUCAAAUGUCCGUUGGGAUCCGGGCCGUUGCUCGUCACCUUCAGGCAUCUCCAUCCCUCAGGAACGCUGCGCCUCGAGCUAGGCCACUGUCCCCACAUCCCACCCCUCACCCCACCUGAGCACCACUGUCUGCCUUCUGGACAUUCCAUACAAACGGAAGCACACAACGGUGGCCUUUGUGACCUUCCGUCCCCAGCACCAGGUCCCACGUUCCCUUGUGGGAUGGUCCACACCUGCUCAUCCAUUGUCGGCUGACGUCUGAGCUGCGUCCCUCCUUGGUCUGUGGUGAGUGACACUGCUGUGACAUUGGUGGAUGGGUUUUUGUUGAACAUAGAGCUUUCCCGGGUACAUAGCAGGAGUGGAGUCCCCGGGGCCUGAUUGAGCUCUGUUCACGGGGGAGGGGGUAAAUGCUGCAGGGGACUGGGGCAGCGGCACCACAGCUGCAGGAAGGGGAGGGGCCAUGGUAGUCCUUCCAGCCAGAGCCCUGGGAGAUCUAGACCCAGAGACCAAGUGAAAUGGGCAAGGCCUGCGGGGUCUGGGGCAGUGGGGGUGCGGGGCAGAGGCUCCUUUGCGCUCCCCUCUUGAGCUGGACAUUCCAAGGGUGGAAACCCCUAAAAGCAAAUCUUAUCCAAGAACUUGACAGUCCACUGAUCAGAGGUUCAUCCUUGUGAGAGGACAGUUUUGAUGCCAGGUGAGGUCUUAAUGGUCCCACGAAGUCAAUUGAAUCCGUGAAGAGUCACUCACUGACCGACACCAGCACGCGUUACCGCCCAUUCAGAGGCGCCAGGAGGGAGCUGGCUAUAGUUGGUCCACACCAUGCAGUGUGGUCAGUGUCCAUAGGGCAGUGGCCAGCUGCAUGGUGGUGGACAUCCCAGCUGAAAGACCGUGGAACGUGAAGAGAGGCCCAAGGUGUGCUGGACGGGAUGCCCGUGAGCCUCUUCCUCCCAUUUCAAAGCCUCCCCUGGUUUCCCAGACACCCUGGAGACAGGACAGGCUGAUCCUCCGCCCCCGGGAGGGGAGAUGGGGGAAGGAAGGGAAGGGGCGAGGGAGGCAGGACAGGGGGCUCUUGGGAGGAAGGGCUGUUGGGCUGUGGGCUCAGAGAGGGAUUGGGAUGGGAUUGUGUGCACAGCAAGAGGGUGGGGGGUGCUGGCAGGAGAGGAGACCAAGAGCGACCAUAUCUGUCUCUGUUCUUUGCUGUCUGAAGGCCUUGUCCCCGUGGGGCUGGCAUGUCGACCACAGGAAGGGUGAACCUGGGUUCUAGUGAAGCUGGCGAGCUGCUAGCAGGACAGGAUGGCCUCAGUGCCAAGCAGGACCCAGGGUGGCUUCAUUCUGGGGGGCAGGAGGGCAACAGGAAGAGCCCGAGAGCAACUCUGCUUUCCUAAUGUCCCAGAGGGCUGCGCAGGACAAGUCCCAGGGCUGUCCUGGUGAGGGUCAUCUCAGAAGCUUGACCACCUCUUGGCGUCCUCCCAAUGAACUUGGGGCUUUGCUUGGAGAGUCCAGCUGGUGAUUCCGCCUCCCGGGAGCAGGGGACAGUGUGGAAGGGCACCAGAGGGCAGGACGAGGCACUGCUCGCUAGUUUGGGCCCUGAGACUCAGCUAUGGUUGAGGGAUGGGUGGCCACAGGCCCUGCAGUUCAGAGUGGGGGACACUACGAUGUGCCUGGAACAUCACCCAGAAUCCACAAUGCGGCAGCAGGAAGGCAGCUGGGGGCAGCCUGCUGGUGGUCAGCUAUGUCCUCCUAAGUGCUCGGGGGUGGGUGGGGCAGGGCAGCAGGAACCCAGGUCCCCAGUGAGCAAGGCUGAGGUCACAUGCUAGGCAGGCUCCUUCUGUGGAGGGUUGUGUCACCUGUGAUCACAGAGAAGAGGGGGCUGAGGCUCCCCCACCGCCCGCUUUCUCCCGUGAUCAUCAUCCAAUUGCGAUGGAGGGAGGGCCACGGGUCACCUCUCCCUGGAGCCAGGUUACAACCCGCAUGGAGAACCAGCCUUGGUCUUGGGCUUGGAACUUCUCUGUAACGUUCUCCACACCUGGUUUGCAGUGUUUGAAUCCCGCCAGUAAUGGGGAUCUCAGAACCUUUCAACAGCAGCCGGUGCCUUUGGAGGCAGCAAGGACUGGAACGAGAGUUUCUCAUCUGAGACUGAAAAUCUGUUUCUGAGCUUCAGUGGCAGUAUUCCUCUUUCUUCUGUCUGUUUCUAUGUUUUUGUGGUGCUGGGGAUUGAACCUAGUGGGUGCUCUACCACUGAGCCACACCCCAGGCCUUUAAAAUUUUUUUUUUUGUAUUUUGAGUUAGGGUCUCACUAAGUUGCCCAGGCCGGCCUCCAACUUGUGACCCUCCUGCCUCAGCCUCCUGAGUAGCUGGGUUUACCGUCCUUCACCACUGCUGCCAGCUUCAGUAUUCAGCUUAAUUUUAUACUUGGGGCCUGUAGUGUUUUGAGUGAUGGCAUCCCCCCUCGAAACUCACGUGGAUACCCAAUCCCCAGUGCAGAAGUGUUUAGGGGUGUGGGAGCCGUCUCCAGGGCUGCACCCUCCCGAAUGGGGUCAGCAUUCUUAGAAAAGGCUCAAGACCAAAGGGAGCACUCUCUGGCCCCUCUGCGUUGUUGGAUGCAGCAAUGAGACGCCAUCCUGAAACAGAGCAGCCAUCACCAGGCGUCAACAGCAGCAUCUUGAUCCUGGAUUUCCAGCCUCAGAGCUGUGAAAAAUAAGUUUAUGUUCUUUGCAGUUUACCCAGCCUCAGGUAUUUUGUGAUAGCAGCACGAAUGGAUGGAGUCUAUUUCCUUGUAGCAGCACAGCACCCCACAUUCUUGAAGGAAGGUUUUGUCCCUUCCAAGUUUGUCUUAUUUGGUAUUAAUUAUUUUUCAAGGGGGCUGAUUUCAAGUUCUUUUACCUAUCGGUGAACUCAUUAAUUUGACUUAGUCUCUGCCCACACCCAAACUAAACAAUAGGCCAGGGAAUGUCAGGACAGGGUAGAAGAGAGAGUUAUUAUGACCGCCUUGUUAAGGAGACAAUACUUUUAUAAUGAAUUCUGUGUCCGUCAGCUUCCUGUCACUAUAGCAAAAUACCUGAGACAGUUAACAGCUAAGGAGAAAAGGUUAUUUUGUCUCCCAAUCUGGGGAGUUCCAGCCUGUGCUCAGUUGGCCUUGUCAUUUGGGCUUGUGAAACAGUGUGUCAUGGCAGGACACCAGGGAGCAAACCGGCUCAGCUCCUCCCAAGCCAGGAAGCAAAGAGAAAAUGAGGUGAGGCCCCCACAGACCCUUCAAGGGGCUCCCCAAGGAUCAAGGCCUCCCACUCAUUCCCACCAUUUCCCACUAGUGCCACCUGGGACCAAGGGCCCCCAUGGGUCUUGGGGGGACACGCGAGGCCCCACUACAGCAGAACCCGGUGCUCCAGUCAGGGCUUCCAGGGGAGCAGAACAGGCAGCUGCGAAGUGAUGCCCUGCGCCAGGGACAGACUGCUCAGCCCAGGUGGCCCUGAAGAGCAUGUUACCUGGUGACGUCACAGCUGCCAGGCUGUGUGAGCAGGGAACGGGAGGCUGAGUGAUGCAUUUCUCUGAGCGUGUCCUCUCUUUUAGGUGACCGUACACUGAUAUUUAAGAGGAGCCCGACCGUGGGAAUCAGCUCAUGUGAUUAUGGAGGCCGAGGAGUCCCACGAAACGCUGUUGGCAAGCUGGACACGCAGGCAGCGGAGCUGUGACUCAGUCUGAGGAAGUCCUGGGAACAUGCAGGGCGGGGGCCGGGGCGGCCCUGGCCUGCAUCUGAGUUUGAAGGCUUGGGAGCUUUGGGGUCCUUGGGGUGUCCCAUCCCCAGCAGAGAGAGCACAGUGACCUCCUCCACUGUUUGUCCACCCAGCCCUCAGUGGAUAGGCCCAUGCCCAUCCACCUGGGUGGACUUCACUCAGUCCACGGAGUCAGGGGCUAAGCUCUUCCAACAACGCUCAGAAAUAAAGUCUGGUGUCCCUUAACCCUGGCACGGUGACACCGAAGGUUAGCCGUCACACAGACUGCACAGCCAGCCCCAGCUCUGUUAACUCAGAGCACGUGGAUCUGCUUAGACCAAACAAGACCACACGGCCACCGUGGCCGCCGGCUGCACAUGGCUUUCCAUAGGAGGCUGACCAAACUCUCUGGGAUCCCCCAAGCAGUGCAUCAGGAACCAGGACGUGGUGUGUGAUGGGGACGGGGGGAGCGGGGUGACGUCGCCUCCCCUCAGCUUAUCCUGGAUUCCCUCUGAAGCAGGCCCUGACCCCGUCCUGGGAUCCACACCCAGCCAUCCCCUUGUCAGGGGGCUCUACCUCUGCACAAUCAACCAAUGGCAGGUGGAAGAGAUUUGGGGGAAAAACCCACAUCGAUAAAAAAGAACAAUAUAACAACAAGAAAAGUAGGAAGAAAAAAUCAACAUCACAACUGUUUACGUAGCAUUUACAUUGUGUUAGGCCUUAGGAGUAACCUAGGGAUUGUUUAAAGUACAGGGAGGAAGCCCUUAGGGUCAUAUGCAAGAACCACUGCUGUCAUUUCUAUAAGGGACUCGAGCAACCUCAGAGGUAGGUGACCACGGGGACCUGCAGCACAUCCUCUUUGGAUCCCUGUCCCCUCCUCCAGGUGCAAGGUAGCUGGGGAGCUGCUUCUGGUCUGUUGUGCUCAGCCCAGGGCAGAAGGUACAGGUGCCUGAUCAGACUUGUAACCAGUGCGCCCAGGAGCACACAGGGCCCAGGGGCUGAGGGUGGGUCUUGCUGGCACCUGGCUCCCACUCCGUCUCCGCUGCCCUGGACCAAGCUGGGCCUGCUGCUGUCUCCCCUCGUCCUUGGGUUCCCCGCGGCUGUUGACAGGUGCUGACUGCCUCCUGUCCCGUCCUUUAGGGUGCAGAGCCACCAUCAUUUCAGCAGACCUUGGCCCAGCUGCCAACUCUACUCUUCGUCUGGCCUCCCCCAGCCGCCCACCUGGGACAGGCAGCCAGCAGGACGCGCUGGACUGGGAGGGGACUUGGAGCUCCGCAGCAGGCUCCCUGGGCCUCCCGAGGGGAGGACUGCUUCCAAGAACUGCUUCCCCUCCCGCUGCCCCAGCUCUGACUCAGAGGAAACUGGAAAGAGGACAUGAAAUACCCACAGUUCCAGGGUUCCGUGGGGUCACAGGAUCUGGAGCUCUCCAAGGAGAGGAGGGAGUGCCCGCAGCCGGGGCCCACGGGGCCACGGAACCACGGAACCUCAUGGACGGGUGUCCAUAUCUGUGGUCCCAGUCUGCGAUCUGGGGCUGCUUUUCCUGUCCCUCACAGCCAUCCUGACCGGUCCUGCCUGUUCUUGCUUCUGACCCCGUCAUCCAUCGAGGAGGCCUGGGCUUCUGCACAGGGAGGUGGAGGCCUCCCUCGCUCAUGGUCGAGGCAGGUCUUGCCAGGCCAGCACCAGGAGCGCUCGGGCCUGGCCAGAAGUUUUAAUGAAGAGAACAACAAAUGGUGGGCGGGCGGGUGGGGGGGGGGCGGCUGUGAUUCCAUCUUCCCUUUUGGCAGAAACUAACUUCUCUGCGAGAACAAUGAGAAGUCAGGGUGGAGUUUCCCCUGCCACUCAGCACCCCCAGGAAAGUGCUGUGGCUGCGAGGGCUGGACGGGCUCUGCAGGGGGGUGCCUGCUGAGCAGGCCUGGAGGGCUGGUCAGUGGCCGGCCGGCUCUGCUGCCUUGCCUGUCCCUGAUGUCCUGAGCCCUUCCUGCUGCGCAGACCGCCACACUGUGGCCUAGACCACAGCAUUUGUUGGGUGAAGGCUACUGAUCCCCCACAGGGCUGGCCUUGGCGAUGUCCUGGGGUCAGUGGAGAGGCAGGCUGGGCAAUGCUGGCCAGGCAGGGGCUGGGGACGCGGGACGGCUUCCUUUGUCCCAGGAAGGAAGGCUUCUUGGAGCAGGGCACCUCACUGGACUCCUGAGUCUGGCACAGCUACGACCCAAAUCCAGGUGGUAGACACAGGACACAGCCAAGCUGGCCCCUUGCUGGCUGCGUGGGGACCACUGGGAGCUGCCUUUCCUGUACCCAGGGUCCCUCUGGGCUUCCUGGGCGUCCGGUCCUGCCCUACAAAGCUGCUCUCAACCCAGUUCCAAGCCCGGCUGGGCCUCCUUGCUGCGGGGGACAGGGACGUGGGCUUCCAGAUACUUUGACAUGGACAACUCCACUGGCCUGCGUCUCUUUUUGUCAAAGGGAGGCCCUGAGCAGGCCGGUUGUCAUUAGGGAAAGCUCAGCAUAAAGUCCACGGGAUAAAAAUGCCACCCCCCUCAAAAAAGAAAGAAAAAAGCCUCCAAGAAUGGGGGUCCCAGAGCAGCUUGGGGUGUGUGUGUGUGUGUGUGUGUGUGUGUGUCUGAGUGUGCAGCCCUGGGGCCUUGGGCACAGCUGGCUCAGCAGUGGGGAAACUGUGGAUAGGAAUCCAGGAGAUGAGGAUCUGGAGUCAGAGUUCAUGGUCAAAGAGGCCUGAGCUGCCUGAGAGGAUGGCACUCCCCGGAGGACCCUCCCAGCCCAGGGAGGCAGGUCAGGGGUCACUGGGUCUCACCCCCUGUCACCGGAGGGUCCUGAGGUUGAGGGCCCAGAGGCAAGGCCUGUCUGGCAGCGUCCCCUCCGUGUGAAGUGGGGGUGUCUAGAAUGAGGCUCUCAGGGAUGGGGACGCUGGACUUGUUCCUCCCAGUGACAGGGAGAGACACCUGCCAAACUGUGAUGGGGUCACUGAGAGGAGGUUGGGGAUUCUAUGCCUGGCUGAGCUGAGAGGCCAGAGGUGAGCUCGGCAUUAUACAGGUGAGGAAUCGGAGGUGGCCCCGGCUGCUGGUGCCGAACGGGACUUCCCCGGACACCACCCCGGUCAGGUGGGCGGCAUCACCAGGGGCCCCUGGAUCACACACGCCCGCCCAGCGCUCCCCACGUCAGUGGCACCAACUGGAGAGCUGGGGGUGGGGCAGGAGCCCUCAGAGGCUGGGUCCCUGGAGACCCAGAGAAGGCGCAGCCAGCAGCCAGGCAGCCCAGGAGCCAAGUCUCUCACAGACUCUUUGUUUUCAUUAGGGGAAGAUCUCAAUUAAAAUAAUUACAGUUACAACAAAAAAUCACUAAGAGAGAGAGGAAAAGGAGUUCAGUUAAAUGCAGAUAUAUUCAGAAGCUGUUAUGAACUGGCUCCCUCUGAAAUCACCCAUUAACAAGUUCUCGCUAAUUAUCUACCUUUUAUUGUUUUAGAGAGGAAGCGGUUCCUCCAUUCCCUCCAUUCCCCCCAUUCCCCCCAUUCCUUCGGGGCUUGUUGGAGGCCCAGGAUCGGAGGGGUCUUCACAGUGGACGACACCCCCAUCCUUGUGAUUAGGUCGCCAGCAAGCCGGGCUGGCCCUGCAGAGCCUAGCCGAGCUUCGAGCUUCGCCUUACAACGAACAAUCAGCCUUGGUUUCCAUCACUAAGUGUCCCCCUUUUUUCAGAGACGGUGAUUUGCCCUGGGACCGAGGCUCCUGUUGGGAGCAAGGCUGUGCGGCAGGAAGAGUUUGGUGUUUUAUUUGCACUUCUUGCUUGGGUGGGGGUCGGGGCUUGAUUCUUUCCCUCUGUCCCUGGGGGUGCUCAACAGCAGCAGGAACUCUGCAUGUGCAGCCCCCUCCCCGGCCCCUCCCCUGACCACCAUGACAGGUGAGGCAGAGGGUGGGCAUCACUUGGGGUCAGGGUGCAGCCUAUGAGUCUGCCAGGGCCGUCUGUCUGGACUUCUGGGACUGUCCUGCUGUCAGCUCUGCCUGCAGGAUAUGCAUUUUCUACAGUUGUGGUGUUUAGACCGAAUCCUUCAGACCCCCUGCGUAUCUAGCAGCAGCACAAAAUUCUGUCAGGCCGCAUGGUCCCAUGUGGGGUGAAGAAGGAACCUGGCUGCCCAGGAUGGGGCUGUGGACGGGGCUCUCCUCCCAGCCGUGUGUGGCAGGAGGGCCAUCAGCCCUUGGGUCUCUGGAGGUGGCUUGUGCACUUAGCUGUAAGUCCUGGCUCUCGGGUCUGUAAAACACCAAGUUCAUGGUUUUACCUGCCCCCCCCCCCAGAUUGCCUCCGAAGAGGACCACUGUGCCGUCUGGAGGAUUGGGGUGGGAGCGUCGGGGGAGCUGUCUGAGGCGCUGCAUGUCCUAGAAAAGCAAGAGCCAGAUGCCAACCACAUAAGGUGCCCAGAGUCAGCACUGAGGUCCUGUCCUGGUUGUGGGGGUGGGAAAGACCCCAGGUGUUGGUGGGAAUCCCUGGAGAGACAGCCCUGGCUUCCUGGGUGGUCCCUCAUAUGCUGGUGGGGCUCUAUUGGAAUGUGAAUGCUCCCAAGGGCACUGACCACUCCCCCGUAGGUGUGGCCCUAGCCCCUCUACUCCCCUGGUGGAAUCCCGGCCUUUCUGCCUGUGUGCCCUCAGUCUCUGUUCUCUGCCUGCAGCGCCAGCCGUGGUGUCCACCCCCUGCACGCCUGCGUCCUGGUGCCGGGCACGCCUUGCUCAUCCUACACCCCUGCUCACCAGUUAGCUCUGCAGUGGUCUUGGCUGAGGGUCUUCCUUCUGGAUGUGCGCCAGGCUCCGCGCUCCUUGCAGAGGAGUGCUGGCCAUCAGGGGACUGAGACAGCCCGAGAGGUCGAUUUGAAAACCCCAGAGCAUCACUCGGCCUCAGGGGCCCCCGUGGGUUGCCUCUGUGCGUGGCACUGUGUCACGCACAGGGGAGGAGGACACCAGAAGCAGGAGCACGGCCAGCGCUGGGCGGGGCCCAGAGUCUGCUGGAGAGCCACACGGAGUCCCCUCCUGAGGGCUCGGCUGCGGAGGGCUGCCCGCUGCUGGCCGAGGGGCACUUGAGUGUUAAGGGAGGCCAUUUCCUCAGAUCUCUCCAAGACAGAGAAGGAGCAGGGAGGUCUGUUCCAGAGAGUCGGGAAGCUGGCCUGUCCCCAAGAAGUCCCAUUGCUCUGGGUCAGUAGCACACCUGAGCCAGGAUUAAAGCCCCAUCGGCAUGAGCAAGGUGACAAAGGCCAGGCCUCGUGCAGGAGGGGGACAAGUGGGUGGGCCAGAUGCUGGCUGGUGAGUCCUGCCGUGUGCUGUCUGAGAAGGGGGAGGUGGAGGGCUGGAGGGCUGGGUGUGCAGGGGGACAGCCCCCAAGGGAGUUCAGACCCUCACCUCCCCGCUUCCUGGGUGGGGGCUUCGAGCUUGAUCCCCGACUUGAUCCCCUUGUACCUGGAGAGCAGCCAGGGGCGGGAGACAAGGGGCCGGUCGCAGGCACAUUGUGUCCCAGGUCUGGGCGACAGAGGAUUUCCUGGGCAGGCCCAGUGUCCGCCGGUUCCCAAAGGCGAGGCCAAGCAGAGCGAGGCGGCCUGUCCUUCCCCCACCAGAGGCGGUGGACACGAGCAGAGGGAGGUCAGCGGUCAGCCAGGCCCCCUCCUCCCCACUCACCUGGGCGUGACGUUCCCGGAGGAUGUGCGUUGGGUGGGGAGCUGGGCCCUGUGGGCGCUGCCAUUUCCCGGUGCCGUAUCGUUGCUAGUCUGACCUUGUUGCUUCUCCUGGGGUGCAUUUUACUUGUGCUCUGCCUCCCCUGACGGGGUGGGUACGUGGAGCAGUGCGACCCGACCAGGUAGUCCUCACCCUGAAGGUGCGGUGAGGUCCCAGUGGCCUGACCAAAGGUGACCCCUCACAGCACACAGUUCUCUGAGCUCUCUCACAGUUCACAGGGCUGCAGGAGGACCCAGGCUCAGGACUCUGGACCAUUGUGUGGUGUGCGCUGACCUCGGUGAAUCCUCCUAAGGACCCUGUCAGUGGAGAUUAUUUUACAGAAGAAGAAACUGGUCUCAGAGAGGUUCAGCACUUUUCCUAGGGCCACACAACUGAGAAUCAGCUGCACCUGGAUUUGAACUCCUGCACUCUGGUUCCAGAUCACCUGACCGCCACCCUGCCUAUCUGAUGCCAAGUGACCUACUCAGCAUGACCCCACCUGACCUCACUUCCAUCCCCAGACCGGCCCUCCUCUGCUCCCCAACUUGUCAAUGUCACCUCCAAACUCUCUCCCUGGGUUGAGAGCUGGCCUGGGCCCUUCCCUCUCAUUCCAAUCUUCUGCCCAGCGUGGGCCCCAGCUCAGCUCCUCCUCCUCCUGCCUGGCACCCCGUCUCUGUCCUGCCUGCACUGCCCAAAUGCCAAGCUGCGUUCUUCCCACUGCACCAAAGUCAAAAGCCCGACUCCUCAGGGUGUCUUGGCUGCCGGCCUCGCGGUGCCUGUGGAUUGGCUCCGCCCCACAGCCUGUUAGUCUCAUGGUGUGCUUCUACGUCCCGUGGCUCCACCCCUUACUCACGCUUCCUCAGCUCAGAUUGCCCGCACUCACUGUUGGCAGCCUGGCGAGCUCCUGUUCACACCUCAAAACCCCGCCUCCACGACCUUCCUGUAUCCUCUCCCUCCCGAGAGCUCCUUCUAACUCAUCUGAACUUUCAUUCUUCUUGUCAAUUACGGAUAUUGCUCUUACCAGUGCCCACCCCCUUUUGGACUCUGUGGAAGGUGUUGGAAGCAUCUUGCGCCUCUCCUUCCUAGAUCCACCAGAGCCUGGUCCUGGGUAAUGCUGGUGGAGUACAGGGAACGGGCUCAGCCCUUUCCCACCCACCAUCUCUCAGUGCCUUCUGGAAGAUCCUACUGAUCGUCAACUUGCAAGCCUCCGGGAGCCUUCUGCAGCCUAUUUGAGGGCUUGCCUUUGUCACCUGAUGCCCAUCUCUCAUGGCCCAGGUGCUGAGAAUCCUGCUGCUCCAUGCACAGACUUGGCCACAGUGAGGCCAACACCAAUAGUGCUGCAGCCUCGUGGAAUGGUGUUCUGCCGAGAAGGAGAACUGGAGGAAUGUUCCCAUGGCAACGGGGUCUUCCUGGAGACUGUCGGAGGGGAACAGCUCUGGUUCUGCUGGGCGCGGCUGCAGCCUGGGUAAGGCCAGGCGGAGGCCAGGGCACUGCCCACUGCUCGCUACUCUUCUGGCCGCUCCUCCACUCGGGCCUCCCUCUCACUGUUCUCUGCCGGCCUCCCUGGGCCCUGCUGGAAGGGCUGCUGUGUGCCCCGCAGGGUUCCCAGACAGCCAUCUCUUCCCGGGUGAUAACAGAAAACGUGCCUUUUGGCAACAGAGGUUUUCAUGCUCAUGUGAAAUGAUCCUCCAGAAUGCCACUCACGUGUCCAUUUCACAGACAGGGCACCCAGGCUGCACUCUGUAAGUGCAGCAGAGAAGCCGGAGGUGCAGAGGGGUGCCGGGCGGGUACCAGCCCAGACUCCUGAGCGCUGUCCUUCCCGGGAGGCCAGCAGGGGCAGUGACCUUCCCCUGACCUGCCCUCUCCUGGCAGCAGGCAUCCCUGGAGGGCAUCUUCCUGGCUCAGGUCGGGAGGGGAGGGCGAGCCCUGAGCUAACAAGGUCCCUGGCGAUUCCAGCAGGGCUCCCCCCUCCCAGCCCCAUGAACACGUUAACUGGGCGAUGAAGAGGCCAGCGCUCUCCCGCUCGACCUGGGAUCUGGGAGAAGCUCCCGAGCCCAUCAAGUGAGAGGCACCGUCACAUCUGCUGGGAAGUGUGCACACGUGUGAGCAAGUGUGUGACCAGUCGAGUGUGGACCACGGGUGAGAGCGUGCGAACCUGUUCAGGUGUGAGCAUGCGAGUGUGUCGUGUAUGCAGGUGCACGUGUGUGUGGGUGUGAGUGCACCUGUCAGGGUGUGAGAAGGCCCGAGUGUGUGUGGGUGUGAACAGGAACGCAAGUGAGGGCUGUGUCCUCGGGGCAUCGAGAAUCCCUGGCUGCUCCUCGGGGAGAGGGGACGUCAGCGGGGCCACGGGCCUCAGGGAGCUGGCCGGGUGGUCCCCAGUCCUCCCACAGCUCCGUGGUGCUGAGGCCCUGCUCGGAAUGGGGACCCACACCUGCCGGCUCUCUGGUGCCUCUUCUGUACAUGUGUGUCCUUCCAGCAGAGGCCACAGAUGUCAGAGGACACACGGAUACUGUGUUCCAUCAAAUGUGCGGCCCUCAGCCAGGCGUGGUAGAGUGGCUGGUCUACACUCCACCUUAGGGCUGGCUUGUUCUGCGGCCCUGGGUGAAUCAACCACCUGGACAACCCCUGGUCUCUACCUUGAGGCCGGGUGAGCUCCUGGUGCCCAUACACUUCCCUACCCCAUGCCACUUCUGAAGUUCCCAAACACGUGGAAUCUUCCACAGGUGCAUGAGACCAAACCGGAAACCCUGCUGUAACCUUGACCAAGUUUGACCAAGUGAGGCCCUUGACCUCCUCAGGCGGUGGCUGCAGAGUCAAGGAGCAACCGCUGGAGAUUGGUCCAGGUGCUCUGUGGUCCUGGGAAAAGAGUCCAAGAUGUGGUCCAGGCUUGGAUGAGGGCCUGACCGUGUCUGAGGGCUGCCAUCUCGUCUCCGUGGUAACAAACUCUGCACUCCCACAUCCCCCUGAGGUAGGACGGGUCACGCGUCGAGCUUCGGCAACGAGAUGGAAGAAGGUGAUUCCUGCCCUGUCCUGAAGGAGGCCCUGGGUCUCCUGGGGGACUCGCCAGCACUGUGGGAGCAGGGCCAGGUCAGACCCUGAGGCCACCCACUCUGCCUACUGCUCCAACCGGUUUAUUGAUUUAUCUUUGGUACUGGAAAUUGGACCUAGGGCGGCUCUACUCCUGAGGCACAUCCACAGCCCUCGUCCUUUUGGGUUUUGAGACAGGGUCUUGCUGAAUUGCUGAAGCUGCUCUUGAACUCACUACUCUCCUGCCUCAGCCUCCCAUGUAGCUGGGAUCACAGGUGUGCACCACUGGGACCGACUCUGCCUGGGGCUCCUUACAUGAGCCACAAAUAAACCUGUGUCGUUUGUGUCCUUUUACUUCCAGCAUUUCUGUGAUGAUAAACAGAAUGUGCAGUUUAAUUUUUUAAAGACAUCCCGUCUGGCUGGGCGUGGUGGCACAGCCUCUACUCCCAGCUGCUCAGGAGGCUGAGGCAGGAGGAUGGAACAUUUGAGGCCAGCACAUGCUCACGUGCGUGUUGGGGUUCUCAGUGCUUCUUGAAUCCGUAUCUUGACGGCUUCUGUCAGUUCUGAAAAUUCUCGGUCAUCAUCUCUUCAAGGGUUGCGUCUGUGCCCCUUCCUGCGCCUAUUGGCCGUGCACUACUCAACCACCAGCAGUCUUGUCCGGCUUCCCUGGUGUCCUUCUUCUAUCAAUUCCUUAAGUCUUGGCUCCCUAAAUGGCCCCCGAUUCCAGUUUUUGGCAUCCAGCCCGACAUGGCUGGAACACCGUCAACCUCUCUGUCUGACGGCCCUGCUCUCUGCUACCCCCUGGGCUCCUGUGCACACGGAUUAUGAAUUAGCAGACGCCUCCGGAAGGAAAGAGCGCAGUGUGGGUUACCCCCAGGCUCUAUCUCUCUGGAGCCAUGGCCUCUCUGCUCAGUCCCACUGCCUGGACAGCUCAUUGACGUUGUCAGAAAUAUUCUCUGGUUCUCCACGGGAGGCCAGGUUGUCUGCAAGCUAGUCUGUCCCCCUAGGCUUUGCGGUUUCCGUCACUGAUUUGGGGGUUGUUUAUUACAAUGGCACAACCUAGCACAUCCUGAGCACUGGAGCAGGGAUCCUUGGUGGGCAAGUGGGCUGUCACAUGGGGAUGUGACUGUGGAUCACAUGACACCCCCAGGAGGCCCCUGCAAGAGCUGCUAGUCCCUGAGCUCUGCGUGUCCUCACGGACCAGUCCAGAGCCUUUCGAUGGAAAUAUUUGCUUUCCAGGAGUGAGUCCAGGUCCUCCAGUGGCUCCUCGGUUAAUAGAGAGGGCUGACCUCGGGUUUUGGACAUCCCCCUGGUUUCCUGGGGAUGAAGCAGGCACUGUGCAAACUACCCCACUACUUAUCCAGGCACACAUAUUCAGGGUCCCGCCGUCUAUAGUGUGAAUCUGACGAGCUGUUUGUGGCUGGUGAUUUUAGAAUUGGCAUAAUAAUUCCUUUAAAUUUUCUCCCAUUUAAAAAGGGAAAGCACAUUCAAUGAUUCAAAAAUUUUAGAAAAGCAGCAAGGUGUAAAGUCAAGAAGUAAAAGCUCAUCUAAUCCCGAUUGUCUCGAUAAGAACUGUUCAUGGGGCCUACCUCCGUGUAGGGUAUGUGCUAGUGGGCAAGAGGCCCUGGUUCCAUCCCCACAAAAAAGAUGAAGAAGAAAAAGGAGGAGGAGGAGGAGGAGGAGGAGGAGAAAGAUGAAGAGGAAGAAAAUAAAA